This 497-nucleotide ribosomal RNA is filed under the name uncultured bacterium. Its description in RNAcentral is "partial 16S ribosomal RNA". It matches the Rfam family "Bacterial small subunit ribosomal RNA", at positions 28 to 507 of the family's 1533-position model. The record is from RNAcentral.
GAUGAACGCUGGCGGCGUGCCUAAUACAUGCAAGUCGAGCGAACAGACGAGGAGCUUGCUCCUCUGACGUUAGCGGCGGACGGGUGAGUAACACGUGGAUAACCUACCUAUAAGACUGGGAUAACUUCGGGAAACCGGAGCUAAUACCGGAUAAUAUAUUGAACCGCAUGGUUCAAUAGUGAAAGACGGUUUUGCUGUCACUUAUAGAUGGAUCCGCGCCGCAUUAGCUAGUUGGUAAGGUAACGGCUUACCAAGGCAACGAUGCGUAGCCGACCUGAGAGGGUGCUCGGCCACCCUGGAACUGGGACACGGUCCAGCCCCCUACGGGAGGCAGCAGUAGGGAAUCUUCCACAAUGGGCGAAAGCCUGACGGAGCAACGCCGCGUGAGUGAUGAAGGUCUUCGGAUCGUAAAACUCUGUUAUUAGGGAAGAACAAAUGUGUAAGUAACUAUGCACGUCUUGACGGUACCUAAUCAGAAAGCCACGGCUAACUACGUG